This 182-nucleotide ribosomal RNA is filed under the name uncultured bacterium. RNAcentral's name for it is "partial 16S ribosomal RNA". It matches the Rfam family "Bacterial small subunit ribosomal RNA", at positions 338 to 524 of the family's 1533-position model. The record is from RNAcentral.
CCUACGGGAGGCAGCAGUGGGGGAUAUUGCACAAUGGAGGAAACUCUGAUGCAGCGACGCCGCGUGAGUGAAGAAGUAUUUCGGUAUGUAAAGCUCUAUCAGCAGGGAAGAGGGCCCGUAAGGGAGAUGACGGUACCUGACUAAGAAGCCCCGGCUAACUACGUGCCAGCAGCCGCGGUAAU